CCUACGGGAGGCAGCAGUGGGGAAUAUUGGGCAAUGGGCGAAAGCCUGACCCAGCAACGCCGCGUGAGGGAAGAAGGGUUUCGGCUCGUAAACCUCUGUCCUAUGGGACGAAGGAAGUGACGGUACCAUAGGAGGAAGCCCCGGCUAACUACGUGCCAGCAGCCGCGGUAAUACGUAGGGGGCGAGCGUUGUCCGGAAUGAUUGGGCGUAAAGGGCGCGUAGGCGGCCUGCUAAGUCUGGAGUGAAAGUCCUGCUUUCAAGGUGGGAAUUGCUUUGGAUACUGGUGGGCUGGAGUGCAGGAGAGGAAAGCGGAAUUACCGGUGUAGCGGUGAAAUGCGUAGAGAUCGGUAGGAACACCAGUGGCGAAGGCGGCUUUCUGGACUGAAACUGACGCUGAGGCGCGAAAGCGUGGGGAGCAAACAGG
Molecule: ribosomal RNA, 424 nt
Filed under: uncultured Enterobacter sp.
Lineage: Bacteria; Pseudomonadati; Pseudomonadota; Gammaproteobacteria; Enterobacterales; Enterobacteriaceae
Description: bacterial SSU rRNA
Rfam family: Bacterial small subunit ribosomal RNA
Source: RNAcentral